AACGAACGCUGGCGGCAUGCCUAACACAUGCAAGUCGAACGGCACCUUCGGGUCUAGUGGCUCACGGGUGCGUACCGCGUGGGAACCUGCCCAUCGGUUCGUGAUCUCUCCCCGGAAGUGGUCCUACUACCGCAUAAUUUCUACGGCCCACAGAUUUCUUGACCUAGCAUGGGCCCUCCUGGGAUUACCCAGUUGGUAGGGGAAAAGCCUAUCAAGGCGACAAUCCAUAGCUGGGCUGUGAGAAUGAGCAGACACUCUGGGAGUGAGACACGGCCCAGACUCCUACGGGAGGCAGCAGUGGGGGAUACAGGAAAGUGGGCGGAGGGCAGAAGCAGCAAGGCUGGGUGAGCGAUGAAGUCCGUAGGGUAGUAAAGGGCUUUUACACGGGAGGAGAAUGACAGUACCGGGAGAAUAAGCUCCGGCUAACUACGUG
This 433-nucleotide ribosomal RNA is filed under the name uncultured bacterium. Its description in RNAcentral is "partial 16S ribosomal RNA". It matches the Rfam family "Bacterial small subunit ribosomal RNA", at positions 29 to 507 of the family's 1533-position model. The record is from RNAcentral.